Molecule: long non-coding RNA, 455 nt
Filed under: Apteryx owenii (little spotted kiwi)
Lineage: Eukaryota; Metazoa; Chordata; Aves; Apterygiformes; Apterygidae
Description: lncRNA (ENSAOWG00000016704.1)
Source: RNAcentral
CUCGCGGAGCCGCGCCUGGCUCGGCCGCGGCCCCGAGCGCCGUGUCCGCGGCCGCUGCCGCCGUUCCCCGCGUAAAGACUCGCCGCUGCCGGAAACGCGAGUUCCGCCGCCUUCAGAGUUCGCUGCGGAACUGCCGAGCAAAGUUUACAGGGCUGAAACGUAGUGCGUGCGUAACUUUUAUGUUACUGUAAGAAACAAGGCAAGUGUUGCGAGCCAAUGCUGAAAAAUAAGUUGCUCAAUGCUGCCAUCUCCAGGACAGCUCAAGAUGAUCCUUGCUCAUCCCUCCUGUUCCACAAGAGGGACUUCCUUAUCUUGAUGCAUUUGGCAAGUGAUAUACUGACAUGCACAACACCUGUGUAGAACGAUCUUGUGAUGAAAGGUAAUUUGAUUUGCCGCGUGUUGCACAAGAGUGAUUACAAACAGGGGUAUCAGGGUAAAAGCAGGAGAUAGUCUUG